This 253-nucleotide ribosomal RNA is filed under the name uncultured bacterium. Its description in RNAcentral is "partial 16S ribosomal RNA". It matches the Rfam family "Bacterial small subunit ribosomal RNA", at positions 524 to 776 of the family's 1533-position model. The record is from RNAcentral.
UACGUAGGGUGCAAGCGUUGUCCGGAAUUAUUGGGCGUAAAGAGUUCGUAGGCGGUUUGUCGCGUCCGUUGUGAAAGCUUGGGGCUCAACCCCAAGUCUGCAGUGGAUACGGGCAGACUAGAGUCAGGUAGGGGAGAACGGAAUUCCAGGUGUAGCGGUGAAAUGCGUAGAUAUCUGGAGGAACACCGGUGGCGAAGGCGGCAUCCUGGACCGGCAUUGACGCUGAGGCGCGAAAGCUAGGGGAGCAAACGGG